AACCGAAUCGUAGUCCGGAUUGCAGUCUGCAACUCGACUGCAUGAAGUCGGAAUCGCUAGUAAUCGCGGAUCAGCAUGCCGCGGUGAAUACGUUCCCGGGUCUUGUACACACCGCCCGUCAAACAAUGGGAGUGGUGUUUACCAGAAGUCGUUAGCCUAACCGCAAGGAGGGCGGCGACCACGGUGAGCACCGUGACUAAUGUUAAGUCGUAACAAGGUACC
Molecule: ribosomal RNA, 222 nt
Filed under: uncultured bacterium
Lineage: Bacteria
Description: partial 16S ribosomal RNA
Rfam family: Bacterial small subunit ribosomal RNA
Source: RNAcentral